Molecule: long non-coding RNA, 1111 nt
Organism: Onychomys torridus (southern grasshopper mouse)
Lineage: Eukaryota; Metazoa; Chordata; Mammalia; Rodentia; Cricetidae
Exons: 4
Source: RefSeq, a predicted model, not a curated record
CCAGACAUGGAACUGACCAGAGCCCAUCCACCUGGCCAGUAUUUAAUUAAAGCUUGCUUCAAGUUUGACUUUAAACUGUGGUAGUGGUCUUAUUCUAAACCCAUGGGAUUAAUUUUUCUCGAGGCUCCAUCGAGAUUCAGACCACUACCUAAAUCCUAAAGCUGGACAUUCACUCUGGGACUCUGGGGCUGAGGGUCUGCUUCAAGGAGGCAUGUGCCUUGAGAUAUUCCAAGGCUCUAAGGCUUUUUUCAGCUCAUGGACUAUCUCAGCAUGAACUGACAUGCUGAGAAAUGCAGCAAGCAUCUAUGGAGGCCUCCUGGCAAGUUUUUCCUAUUUCUGUCUUUGAAUCUUGUGGCAAUCUCAAGUUUGUCUCAAUAAUCACGACUCCGCCUUCAGACGAGAGCACUCCUCCUCCCGCCUUCAGACGAGAGCACUCCUCCCGCCCUGCCCACAGAUGGACUUCCCAAUGGCAUGCAGACACAUCUCCUCAAAGGAGACUGUAAAUCCUUUGAUCAAGUGAAGAAAUGAGAGUUCCUGUGCAGAUUUCACACUGGUCUGGAAACAUCUGAGCUCUUCAGCGUAUUGUGCUAAUUAUUACUUUCAGGAGAAAGGAGAAAGCAAUCCAUCAACAUAUGUUCUCACCAGCAAGAAAAUACCACACAAGAAUGCAUCCAAGGAUGGAUACCGAAGGGCUUGAACUCAGAUGGCUGUAAAUUCAGAUUCUUGCCAUGGUAGAGAAAUUAGAAGACUUUCUGCACCUGGAGAAAAGAAGCUAUGAACAGCUGAGCCCAGCUGCGGAAGGAUGCAUACUUUAUCACGCUGCAGUUUUGCUAAGCCCCUCUCCCCUGGAAGAUAUUCUCUGUAACCAAAGAGGCUCUCCUGAUGGAAAUGUGUUACUGUUACAGGGUCUAGAUUCUGAACUCAGGGGUGCAUUCAGACAGUCACAAUGCAAACGUAUCCCUAUGCUCUAAUUAAAAUUUAAGGUGAAAGGCAUAAAUAAACAAAAAGUUGAGCCAACCUGAUUCAGUGAAGGAAUUCCUAAGGAUGCUUCCUUUUCAAACCUAUUAAGGUUAGGUGUGGUGGCACAGGCCUUUAAUCCCUACCCUGGGGA